CUCGGCCAGCUCCUCCGCCAGUUCUUUCAGUACCCUCGGGUGCAUCCCAUCUGGCCCCAUCGACUUGCGCACAUCCAAGCUAUAGGCCUAUAGACAGGCCUAUAGUUCCCCGGGUCGAAAGGAAUGUGUGGGGAGCUGGGGGUCAGCCUCUUCUCACAGAUAACUAGUGAUAGGACUAGAGGGAGUUGCACCAGGGGAGGUUUAGGUUGGAAAUUAAGAGACAUAUCUUCUCUGAAAGAGCAGUCAGGCGUUGGAAUAGGUUGCCCAGGGAGGUGGUGGAGUCACCAUCCCUGGCGGUGUUCAAGGAAAGAUUGGACCUCGUGCUUAGGGACAUGGUUUAGUGGGCUAUAUUGGUGGCAGGGGGAUGGUUGGACCAGAUGAUCUUGAAGGUCUUUUCCAACCUUAAUGAUUCUAUGAUUCUAUGAUAGGUAGACUGUAGUUAGGAUAAUAUAAUUUGUAUAGGCUUUGCACACAUAGGAAGGCUCAAAAAAAGAUUUAUAUGUUGAUGAAAUUAGAAAUGGCUCUCCUGAAAUGUUUCAUGCUUCAGCUUUCAAAAAAUGUCUGUGUUUUAAACGGUAUUGCCUGUUUUUGUUGAUUUUGCAUUUUAUAGGAGCAUCUAUGGACCUUGUGGACCUUGUUGAGAACUUGGGUAAUAGAAAUCCAAAUAUUUCCUUCCCUAUUGCAUGUGGAAAUAUUUGCAGAGAGAUGGAACCCAAGGUACUGCUGAGGAUAAAUAUUGCUCCCUACCUGCUCUGUUCUGAUUGUCAUCUGCUAGUGUCUGCGAUUAGCAUCAUCAAAGAAUGGAUACUAUGUCUGAUAAACCUUUCUUGUGAAGUAAUGAACUGUGUUUAAAUUCCUCUAUAAUGUAAACAAUACCUUCCAAAAUAUACCAAUACCCUAAGAUACUAUGAAUGAAGUCUGAAAUCUAUAAGACAAAAAAAAAAAUAUCCAAUUAAUAAGGAGGAGGAUAUAUGAAGUAAUUCUCUGAAGUACUAUGGAGUUUCCACAGCAGUUUACCCAACAAAUUAACUGCGUGCUGUAAUAAUAUUGAAUAAUAAAAAAUUUAGAGAACAAAUCUUAUGAGGAGUG
Molecule: long non-coding RNA, 1089 nt
Filed under: Anser cygnoides (Swan goose)
Lineage: Eukaryota; Metazoa; Chordata; Aves; Anseriformes; Anatidae
Description: lncRNA (ENSACDG00005002564.1)
Source: RNAcentral